GACGAACGCUGGCGGCGUGCUUAACACAUGCAAGUCGAACGGGUCUGCCCUGUUUUUUGCGGGGUGGGUCAGUGGCGAACGGGUGAGUAACACGUGAGUAACCUGCCCCUCACUUCUGGAUAACCGCUUGAAAGGGUGGCUAAUACGGGGUGUUCUGGCUGUGCCGCAUGGUGUGGCUGGGAAAGAUUCACUUUUGUGGUGUUUUCGUGGGGGAUGGGCUCGCGGCCUAUCAGCUUGUUGGUGGGGUGAUGGCCUGCCAAGGCUUUGACGGGUAGCCGGCCUGAGAGGGUGGGCGGUCACACUGGGACUGAGAUACGGCCCAGACUCCUGCGGGAGGCAGCAGUGGGGGGUAUUGCACAAUGGGCGGAAGCCUGAUGCAGCGACGUCGCGUGAGGGAUGGAGGCCUUCGGGUUGUGAACCUCUUUCGCCGGUGAAGAAGGUCCUGCUCUUUGUGGUGGGGUUGACGGUAGCCGGGUUAUGAAGCGCCGGCUAACUACGUG
Molecule: ribosomal RNA, 500 nt
Filed under: uncultured bacterium
Lineage: Bacteria
Description: partial 16S ribosomal RNA
Rfam family: Bacterial small subunit ribosomal RNA
Source: RNAcentral